CACCGCCCGUCACGCCAUGGGAGCUGCGAGCGCCCGAAGUCCGCGUAGGAACCCUCACGGGGCCGAGCGGCCGAAGGCGAGCGCAGUGACUGGGGCG
This 97-nucleotide ribosomal RNA is filed under the name uncultured bacterium. Its description in RNAcentral is "partial 16S ribosomal RNA". It matches the Rfam family "Bacterial small subunit ribosomal RNA", at positions 1388 to 1482 of the family's 1533-position model. The record is from RNAcentral.